CGAAUGCUGACAUAAGUAACGAUAAAGCGGGUGAAAAGCCCGCUCGCCGGAAGACCAAGGGUUCCUGUCCAACGUUAAUCGGGGCAGGGUGAGUCGACCCCUAAGGCGAGGCCGAAAGGCGUAGUCGAUGGGAAACAGGUUAAUAUUCCUGUACUUGGUGUUACUGCGAAGGGGGGACGGAGAAGGCUAUGUUGGCCGGGCGACGGUUGUCCCGGUUUAAGCGUGUAGGCUGGUUUUCCAGGCAAAUCCGGAAAAUCAAGGCUGAGGCGUGAUGACGAGGCACUACGGUGCUGAAGCAACAAAUGCCCUGCUUCCAGGAAAAGCCUCUAAGCAUCAGGUAACAUCAAAUCGUACCCCAAACCGACACAGGUGGUCAGGUAGAGAAUACCAAGGCGCUUGAGAGAACUCGGGUGAAGGAACUAGGCAAAAUGGUGCCGUAACUUCGGGAGAAGGCACGCUGAUAUGUAGGUGAGGUCCCUCGCGGAUGGAGCUGAAAUCAGUCGAAGAUACCAGCUGGCUGCAACUGUUUAUUAAAAACACAGCACUGUGCAAACACGAAAGUGGACGUAUACGGUGUGACGCCUGCCCGGUGCCGGAAGGUUAAUUGAUGGGGUUAGCGGUAACGCGAAGCUCUUGAUCGAAGCCCCGGUAAACGGCGGCCGUAACUAUAACGGUCCUAAGGUAGCGAAAUUCCUUGUCGGGUAAGUUCCGACCUGCACGAAUGGCGUAAUGAUGGCCAGGCUGUCUCCACCCGAGACUCAGUGAAAUUGAACUCGCUGUGAAGAUGCAGUGUACCCGCGGCAAGACGGAAAGACCCCGUGAACCUUUACUAUAGCUUGACACUGAACAUUGAGCCUUGAUGUGUAGGAUAGGUGGGAGGCUUUGAAGUGUGGACGCCAGUCUGCAUGGAGCCGACCUUGAAAUACCACCCUUUAAUGUUUGAUGUUCUAACGUUGACCCGUAAUCCGGGUUGCGGACAGUGUCUGGUGGGUAGUUUGACUGGGGCGGUCUCCUCCUAAAGAGUAACGGAGGAGCACGAAGGUUGGCUAAUCCUGGUCGGACAUCAGGAGGUUAGUGCAAUGGCAUAAGCCAGCUUGACUGCGAGCGUGACGGCGCGAGCAGGUGCGAAAGCAGGUCAUAGUGAUCCGGUGGUUCUGAAUGGAAGGGCCAUCGCUCAACGGAUAAAAGGUACUCCGGGGAUAACAGGCUGAUACCGCCCAAGAGUUCAUAUCGACGGCGGUGUUUGGCACCUCGAUGUCGGCUCAUCACAUCCUGGGGCUGAAGUAGGUCCCAAGGGUAUGGCUGUUCGCCAUUUAAAGUGGUACGCGAGCUGGGUUUAGAACGUCGUGAGACAGUUCGGUCCCUAUCUGCCGUGGGCGCUGGAGAACUGAGGGGGGCUGCUCCUAGUACGAGAGGACCGGAGUGGACGCAUCACUGGUGUUCGGGUUGUCAUGCCAAUGGCACUGCCCGGUAGCUAAAUGCGGAAGAGAUAAGUGCUGAAAGCAUCUAAGCACGAAACUUGCC
This 1524-nucleotide ribosomal RNA is filed under the name Escherichia coli. Its description in RNAcentral is "partial 23S ribosomal RNA". It matches the Rfam family "Bacterial large subunit ribosomal RNA", at positions 1291 to 2798 of the family's 2925-position model. Lineage: Bacteria; Pseudomonadati; Pseudomonadota; Gammaproteobacteria; Enterobacterales; Enterobacteriaceae. The record is from RNAcentral.